UGUAUUUUCUUAAACAAAGGCAAUAUUGUCGAUUGCCCAAUCAUAUCAUUCAUUCUCUGCGGCAGCAAUGGAGUCUUUGACCAGAAGAAGAACACAAGUGGGGAUCUUCGUGUUGUUGUUUAUUUUCAUUAGCUUAAAUCAGCUCUCAGUUACAAUUUAUUCAGCUCCGUAUGAUAACGAGUUAAUCAACAGUCAUUUGAGGAAGUUGCUAGCAAGACCACCCCGAACCAGGCCUCCUCCACCUAAGGCAAAUCCUAGUAAGCAGUUUGAAGUCCCUCCUCCUGGACCCCCUCCUCCUGAUAAUGGGCAAUGAUGAUGUUUUGAAGAUUUUGGUUAAUCUAUGGUUGAAGAUCAAGAAUAAUACAAACCGGGUGAGUACAUAAGGCGGUCUUCAGAGAGUUCAAAGUUGCUUGAAAUUUAGUUAUUGUUCCGAAGAUUUUCAACAUACAAGAAAACAAAAAUGGCCUGCUGAAAUGAAAUCACGCCAUUAUCAAUUUAGAAAAAGUUUAGUCAAAAUUUAAAAUUCAUUAAAGUAGACUGAUCAAGUCAUAAUCUAAAGGGUUAAUCUAUCUAGAUAUUUCCUAACUACUUGUAUUAUUUAAAUAAUUAAAUAUGAGAUUUAGCAUGGUCUUUGU
Long non-coding RNA from Papaver somniferum (opium poppy), 635 nucleotides. RefSeq lists it as uncharacterized. Lineage: Eukaryota; Viridiplantae; Streptophyta; Magnoliopsida; Ranunculales; Papaveraceae. The record is from RefSeq and is a predicted model, not a curated record. The transcript is spliced from 2 exons.